This 218-nucleotide ribosomal RNA is filed under the name Heliconia atropurpurea. RNAcentral describes it as "partial 26S ribosomal RNA". It matches the Rfam family "Eukaryotic large subunit ribosomal RNA", at positions 11 to 227 of the family's 3401-position model. Lineage: Eukaryota; Viridiplantae; Streptophyta; Magnoliopsida; Zingiberales; Heliconiaceae. The record is from RNAcentral.
GUCAGGCGGGGCCACCCGCCGAAUUUAAGCAUAUAAAUAAGCGGAGGAGAAGAAACUUACGAGGAUUCCCCUAGUAACGGCGAGCGAACCGGGAUCAGCCCAGCUUGAGAAUCGGGCGGCCGCGCCGUCCGAAUUGUAGUCUGGAGAAGCGUCCUCAGCGACGGACCGGGCCCAAGUCCCCUGGAAAGGGGCGCCGGGGAGGGUGAGAGCCCCGUCCG